RNAcentral lists this transfer RNA (85 nucleotides) under Tremella mesenterica. Its description in RNAcentral is "tRNA-Arg". The record is from RNAcentral. Lineage: Eukaryota; Fungi; Basidiomycota; Tremellomycetes; Tremellales; Tremellaceae.
GCCCUUGUGGCACAGAGGUCCAGUGCAUCCGCCUUCUACCAAAAUUGGCAGCGGAAGGUCCAGAGUUCGAUCCUCUGCUGGGGUU